Scylla paramamosain (green mud crab) is the source of this 460-nucleotide long non-coding RNA. RefSeq lists it as uncharacterized. The record is from RefSeq and is a predicted model, not a curated record. The transcript has 2 exons. Lineage: Eukaryota; Metazoa; Arthropoda; Malacostraca; Decapoda; Portunidae.
CAUCCAGACUGUCACUUGUUUGGGGAGGUGGAAGAGGGUGGAGCUACUUGCCGUUCAUAGUUUUAGUCAUGACCACCGCGCGUCCCUAUCACCACCUGAGUCAGUCCUGUGCGGCAGUGUUCUGGUGGGUGUUACUGAUUGCUGUGACGGGCGCCCUUAUCAGAGGAGGACAUGCAGAUUUAGAAUCGAGCUGUGAAGACACUGCACUGCUUUCCUCACCCGUUUUUCGUGCCAGACUAGCUCACAACAAUGUUUUACUUCUUACACAAUUAAACAUGACACAAUUAAACAUAACGAUUUCUACAUUCUAGAAUGAAUUCAUGAUAUGGCAGACAGCAGAGUUAUAAAGUAACAAAUAUUAACAUUGCAGCUGUGACACUAGACCGAAAGGGAAACACAAAACAUGAGAUAUAAAUGUAGAACUCAAAACCAAAGAUAAAAUAAACGUAUCUGUUUGUUG